RNAcentral lists this ribosomal RNA (200 nucleotides) under uncultured bacterium. RNAcentral describes it as "partial 16S ribosomal RNA". It matches the Rfam family "Bacterial small subunit ribosomal RNA", at positions 30 to 233 of the family's 1533-position model. The record is from RNAcentral.
AUUGAACGCUGGCGGCAGGCCUAACACAUGCAAGUCGAGCGCGAAAGUUCUUCGGAAUGAGUAAAGCGGCGGACGGGUGAGUAAUACAUGGGAAUCUGCCUGGUAGUGGGGGACAACGUUUCGAAAGGAACGCUAAUACCGCAUACGCCCGUACGGGGGAAAGGGGGGAUCUUCGGACCUCUCGCUAUCAGAUGAGCCCA